AUAAACCUGAAAAUGUUUGUACAGAUCCAUCUGGCUAGGCAAAUGGUUAGCGUUUCUGUGCAGGUGACAUGUAAAAAUCAAAGGCCAAAUUCUCAGCUGUGAUCUGGCUGUGCCUUUAAAGGGUCUGGACUAAUCCUUAGCUUCAGUUGGCUGGAAUAGAAGAUUGGCAGCCUAUGAUCAAAGUUUUAUGCUGGGGGCAGAUCGGGUGAGUGUUGAGUGGUUCUGUGCUGAGGUAAUGAUAAAGUGACUGAUGGAGGCCAUAAGAAUCUGGGGUAAUUGAAGGCAUGCAUGACACUGCCCUAGACUAUGUUGGGAGAAGAAUCAGAGUAAAAAGACCCCAUAAUGGUGAAACUAUGACUGUACCUUUGUGCCGCUUUCUGUCUCUCCAAACCUUUUAGCCAGUUCAUGGCUGAGAACCUGACCUUUAAAUUACAGGACCUGGGAGACUGCAAGACAUGUCCUACAACAUGUAGUAUGGAUCCCAGGCUGCCAUUUCAUGUAUAGCAUUGGACUGUCAAUGAUAGAAUGAUAAGGAUGUGGGAAUGUCUUCUGUGACUUUGUUACAAUGUAGUGGUAUAAACAGUUACCUUAGUCUUUUCUUCACUUAAGUGAUACUCUCAGAAGGCCAGGUAUGGUCCUUUCCUUUUUGUCUUUUACAUCUAGAAGAAGUCUGUGAUUACAGCACUCUUUAGAAAACCAUUACAUGUGCCAUAGCACAGAACUGAAUAUGGAGCACCCAUGCAAGGUGUCUAAUUGCAGUAGUUUGCAUCUUUGGAUGUAUCUCUAGUUGCUGUAGCGGUUUCUUCCCUGACUUAUUAUCUGAAAUAAUAAGUCACAUUAUUUCAGAUUGUCAGAAUAGAAGAUAGUAUACAAGAGAUUGAUUGUUUAUUUUGUUGAGCCAGAAGAAACAAAGUACUCCUCUGGCAAUUAUUGAUCAUAAUUGCACAAAUGAUAGAAUAUUUCUAGUAUGAAGAAUAAUGGCCUGCUGUGUUUCAAACCUAGUGUUUGCACCAUAAGUUACUGAAAUUACUCUUUGUUUUUCUCUAUGAUGAAAACCAAAUAUGCUUUCUCUCAGGCAGAGCUUUAAACAACUUACUAGAAACAGCUGUCUCAUCCUUCCACCCAUCCUUGUAUACUGACUGUAUAAUCAGCUUUUUCAGUGCAUUGUUCAGUAGGAUAACACUGGUUCAGGGUUCAAUAUGCUACUUGUAUUCAUUUGAGUUCCCAUUUCAUUUUAAAGACUUCUAAAGAGGAGAAAAGGAUUAAAAAAAUAAAGAUUCCAAAUAUUUAUUUCUAUCCUUCUAUUAUGGAAGAAAUUUUUAAUGAUACCACAAAAAAAAAA
Molecule: long non-coding RNA, 1342 nt
Filed under: Strigops habroptila (Kakapo)
Lineage: Eukaryota; Metazoa; Chordata; Aves; Psittaciformes; Psittacidae
Description: lncRNA (ENSSHBG00005011377.1)
Source: RNAcentral